GCUUGUCUCAAAGAUUAAGCCAUGCAUGUCUAAGUAUAAACGACUUUAUACUGUGAAACUGCGAAUGGCUCAUUAUAUCAGUUAUAGUUUAUUUGAUGGUCCUUGCUACUUGGAUAACCGUAGUAAUUCUAGAGCUAAUACAUGCAUUAAACCCCGACUUCUGGAAGGGGUGUAUUUAUUAGAUGGAAACCAAUGCGGGGUAACCCGGAAUAUGGUGAUUCAUAAUAACUUUCGGAUCGAUUUAUCGAUGCAUCAUUCAAGUUUCUGCCCUAUCAGCUUUCGAUGGUAGUGUAUUGGACUACCAUGGCAGUAACGGGUAACGAAGAAUUAGGGUUCGAUUUCGGAGAGGGAGCAUGAGAAACGGCUACCACAUCUAAGGAAGGCAGCAGG
Molecule: ribosomal RNA, 390 nt
Filed under: uncultured Chrysophyceae
Lineage: Eukaryota; Chrysophyceae
Description: partial small subunit ribosomal RNA
Rfam family: Eukaryotic small subunit ribosomal RNA
Source: RNAcentral